GUAGUGGUGUCUUUAGACACCACCAUCUAUAUUUGAAAUAUUAUUU
Molecule: non-coding RNA, 46 nt
Organism: Picea glauca (white spruce)
Lineage: Eukaryota; Viridiplantae; Streptophyta; Pinopsida; Pinales; Pinaceae
Source: Rfam